RNAcentral lists this ribosomal RNA (345 nucleotides) under Prymnesium parvum. Its description in RNAcentral is "partial Bacterial large subunit ribosomal RNA". It matches the Rfam family "Bacterial large subunit ribosomal RNA", at positions 786 to 1129 of the family's 2925-position model. Lineage: Eukaryota; Haptophyta; Prymnesiales; Prymnesiaceae. The record is from RNAcentral.
UGGCUGAAAAGGAUCGGGAUGAGCUGUGCCUAGGGGUGAAAGGCCAAUCAAACUCGGAGAUAGCUGGUUCUCUGCGAAAUCUAUUUAGGUAGAGCGUCAUCCGAAUACCCUCGGGGGUAGAGCACUGGAUGGGUAAUGGGGCCCCACAGGCUUACUGAUCCUAACCAAACUCCGAAUACCCGUGAGUACUAGUCGGCAGACACACAGUGGAUGCUAACGUCCAUUGUGGAGAGGGAAACAACCCUGACCUCCAGCUAAGGCCCCUAAUUCAUGGCUAAGUGGGAAAGCAGGUGGGACGACCAAAACAACCAGGAGGUUGGCUUAGAAGCAGCCAUCCUUUAAAGA